GGAUGUGAGGGCGAUCUGGCUGCUACAGCUGUCACCCCAUUGAUCCCCAGUGAUCCCCAUUGAUCACCAGGGUUGAUUCUGCUGAUCUGGCUGGCUAGGCGGGUGUCCCCUUCCUCCCUCUCUGGUCCAUGUGCAUCCCUCCCAAAGCUGAGCAUUUGGUCAAAGAGGAAGGACUUCCCCUAAUAGAGAUGGACUGAUCUUCGGUCGAGAGUAGCUGUGCUUCCCAGCUAGAACUUCUAACUAGCUUCUCAGUCCAGGACCCACCACGUUGAAGAAGUUUCAGAGCUGUGGUAUUUCAUUCUUU
RNAcentral lists this small nuclear RNA (304 nucleotides) under Erinaceus europaeus (western European hedgehog). RNAcentral describes it as "7SK RNA (ENSEEUG00000023776.1)". It matches the Rfam family "7SK RNA". From Rfam's summary of the family: 7SK was discovered as an abundant small nuclear RNA in the mid-70s but a possible function has only recently been suggested. Two independent studies have found that 7SK RNA binds the CDK9/cyclin T complex (known as elongation factor P-TEFb). The record is from RNAcentral. Lineage: Eukaryota; Metazoa; Chordata; Mammalia; Eulipotyphla; Erinaceidae.